This 332-nucleotide long non-coding RNA is filed under the name Setaria viridis. Its description in RNAcentral is "long non-coding RNA (SVIR_LNC004685)". Lineage: Eukaryota; Viridiplantae; Streptophyta; Magnoliopsida; Poales; Poaceae. The record is from RNAcentral.
ACAAACCUCCAACUGAGCUUUAGCAUAUUUUCCUCCAAACUCAAACUCGCCUCGGGAAAGUUUGAGUUUUUUUCAAAGUUUUAUCGAAAUUCGAAUUUUUUAAGUAGAGAUUGAAGUAUGUUAGAGUAAUUCCAAGAGGCUGCUAAUCUUACCCCAAUACCUUUUUUACGAAAAAAAAGAAAAAACGAACUCCAACAGUCCAAACCUUCCCCAAUUUUUUCGUGAUGCUAAAAAACACACUGCCACCAUGUAUAUUUUAGCGUUGGUGUUUCUCCCCCAAUUCCGAUUCCCGUGCGCGAGCUGCCCUCUCCCCCACGCGAGCACCCUUCCCC